UGGGGAAUCUUCCGCAAUGGACGAAAGUCUGACGGAGCAACACCGCGUGAGUGAAGAAGGUUUUCGGAUCGUAAAACUCUGUCUUUUGGGGGCGAACGUGAGUAUGGUGAACAAUCAUAGUCAGUGACGGUACCAAAGGAGGAAGCCACGGCUAACUACGUGCCAGCAGCCGCGGUAAUACGUAGGUGGCAAGCGUUGUCCGGAAUUAUUGGGCGUAAAGAGCGCGUAGGCGGGAUAGUCAGUCUGUUGUAAAAGUGCGGGGCUCAACCCCGUGAUCGCAAUGGAAACAGCUAUUCUUGAGUGCAGGAGAGGAAAGUGGAAUUCCCAGUGUAGCGGUGAAAUGCGUAGAUAUUGGGAGGAACACCAGUGGCGAAGGCGACUUUCUGGACUGUGUCUGACGCUGAGGCGCGAAAGCCAGGGGAGCGAACGGGAUUAGAUACCCCGGUAGUCCUGGCCGUAAACGAUGGGUACUAGGUGUGGGAGGUAUCGACCCCUUGCCGUGCCGGAGUUAACGCAAUAAGUACCCCGCUGGGGAGUCGGUCGCAAGACUGAAACUUAAAGGAAUUGACGGGGUCAUAGCUGUUCCUG
This 588-nucleotide ribosomal RNA is filed under the name uncultured bacterium. Its description in RNAcentral is "partial 16S ribosomal RNA". It matches the Rfam family "Bacterial small subunit ribosomal RNA", at positions 355 to 1376 of the family's 1533-position model. The record is from RNAcentral.